This 4103-nucleotide small RNA is filed under the name Arabidopsis thaliana (thale cress). Its description in RNAcentral is "ATSL092630". The stretch from base 3422 to 3528 matches the Rfam family "Plant small nucleolar RNA R71". The record is from RNAcentral. Lineage: Eukaryota; Viridiplantae; Streptophyta; Magnoliopsida; Brassicales; Brassicaceae.
UUCAUUCAAAUGCAUCAGAGAACUAAUAACUCAUUUAGUAAAUCAUCAUGCUUACAAGGUUAUCUCCUCAUUGUCCCCUAUGCAUAUGAAACAAUCCUAAAUGAAACACUCUAGACUCGAUUCUAAAUGUAAUGCAACUACAUGAACACUCUGUUUUUGUGAAAUCAUUUUCUCUAAUUUUUCAAUUUUAUUUAUUUAUUUUUUAUAUGCCUUAGAUGAAUGCUGUCUCAACUCAAGAGUAUAUACAAUGCAACACACACUUCCUGAGCCCUCCCCCAAACUUAAAUAUGAAUGCUGACUCAACUCAAGAGUAUAUACAAUGCAACACACACUUCCUGAGCCCUCCCCCAAACUUAAAUCACACUGUCCACUGUGUGACCAAAUUUGGAAGAGAGUACUCAGGACAAAACACAUAACAAAAACACAAUAUAAACAAGAGAUUAUAUAGUACAAUGGUGAAGUGAGGCGCUUACCUCAGUCGAAGAAUGAACGGAGUUGGUCGUCAAUGGGUGCCUGUGAUUGCUCCCAAGGCAUUAAAGAGUCGCCCUGUUCUAUAUCAGCUCUAGCAUGUGGGUACUCGACCUCAUUGCCUCUGUGGCGGCCAGCACCGCCAUGAGUUUACUCGACCUCCCCUCUUCUGCUGCGGCCAGCACCACAGUCGAGUGAUCUCCUUGCGUGGAUAAGCUAAAAUAUGGUCGAGUAUUUUUCAUUGCUCUGUGGUCGAGUAUACUGCUUUCCUCGCAGAGCCAGAAUCCACUUCACUGAGCUCUUUAUACUUAUCUCCUGAAGACACUAACCAAAUGCAUCAAAAACAACAAGGAAAAUAAAGAUAUGUACAAAGAUAGACAUGGGAUUUCCUCCCAAGUGAGCUUGUUUUAAGUCUCUAAGCUUGACUUCAUACUCAUUACGCUUAGGGUGGGUUGUAGAGAGGAAAUGAGGUCUCCUCUCCUCCUUGAGUAGAGUGAUCAUCAUACUCAUUAGGGUUUCCUAACAGGUCUGCAAUUGGGUACUCAGUGGCUAUGUCCUGACAGUAAGCUUCUUUUUUAUCAAGAUAGUCUUUUCCUCUAGACCAUUCCGAUGUGAAUUCAAAUUCCUUUUUUGCUGACCAGAAUAGUGGCUCCAUCGUCAGGGGUGUCCUUGAUGUUGAGUGGUACUUGGUUGGCUUUUCCAUUGAGCUCCUUGAUUUGAUCUUUCAGCUCUUUCACAAUAUGUGUUAGCUCUUGUAUGGCUUUGUCCUGCCAUUUAGAUCUCUCUUUGAGUUCUAACCAAUCAUCUGAUGUCUGAGUGUUUGCCUUGAGUUGUUUGGUCGAGCAUGAGCUUUUAGGGCAAGUUGGAGGCUUCUUCGAGUUGUUGGUGGAAUCAGUUGGUCGAGCGUGUGUUGAACUUUCUUCAUUAGCUUUCAUAACCUUUGUGUCUGACCCCAUCAAGCCUUUGUAAACCUUUGAGCCAACUGCUGACUUGUGUGAGUCUAAUGACUUCUCAGAACUCAAAGUUUCACUAGGGAGAUACCCGGCUUUACCACUCUUGGUCAAAACAGUUUUUGAGUUAUUUGCUUCUUCAAGUUCCACUAGCAGUUCACCAGCUAGUCGAUCCACUUCCUUAACUAAGAAGGUCUGUUCUUUUAUUGUCGGCUUCAUCAUAGCAUCAUUGAUAUUAAACUUCAUUUCAAGAUUCUUCCCUAGAUUAAGAUCAAUCUUUUCUUGCUUAACAUCUAUGAUUGUUGCAGCUGUAGCCAAAAAGGGCCUUCCUAAUAUCAAGGGAUCUUUUGGUUCUUCAUCCAUGUUCAGAACUACGAAGUCUGUAGGCACCUCCACAUUUCCAAUCUUGAUAGGCAAAUCUUCUAAUAAUCCAUGAGGUAGUCUAACAGACCUAUCAGCCAAGAUUAAGGAGAUAUUGUAGUAUUUAUACUUGUUGAAACCCAACCCCUUAGCUACUGAGAGUGACAUGAGAUUUACUGAUGCACCUAGGUCACAAAGGCAUUCAUUGAAAGUCAAUGAACCUAGGGAGCAUGGUAGAGUGAAUGAACCAAGGUCUCCUAGCUUUUCCGAGACAUCGUUCUCCUAUAUGAUGGCACUGCACUUAUGGCUCAGAACUGUUGUUUUCUGAACCUCUUGAAUUCUCUCCAUGAUCAAGUCUUUGAGGAACUUUUGGGAAUCCGGGAUACGCGUUAGAGCAUCAGCAAGAGGUAUCCUUAAUUUGGCUUCCUUGAUGUUAUUGGCAAACAUAGCUCUGUGCUUAUCUUCUAACUCUUUCUUGUGUCGACCAGGAAAUGGAAGUGGGGGCUUAUAAGGAGGAGGAUUGAAGAUUUUUUCUUUGUUUUUGACAGCAACUAGUUUGGGAGCGGUAGGUGAUGUUGCUGGGAAGGUCGGUCGAGUAAAGUGGUCGAGUGGCAGCUCGAGUGACUGGUCGAGUGGCUGCUCAAGUGACUGGUCGAGUGGCUGCUCGAGUUGUUUGUCAGCUUGAUCUUUAUUGAGAUUGAAAUCCUCCCUAUCUUGGUAUGCACUGUCCUCAGUGACUGACUGGGGUCUCUCUCUAGUGGAGAACUCUCUUCCACUCCUUAUGGUGAUAGCAUGAACAUUAGCAAACUCCUUGGGAUUCUGAAUUGACUUCCCUGGAAGUCCCGUAACUUUGGGAGCAGAGGUAGAUGCGGAUUGUCCUUCUAAGUAUUUGACUUUGGAAUUCAACGCCUCCACUUUAGCAUUCAGGUCAUGGUAGCUGCAGUCCAGCUUAUGGUGCAAUUCAGAUAACGUCUUAGCAAUUUCCAUGGAGCUAGAUGCUUGUCCCUGUAGCAGUUGUUGUACCAUCUGUUUCAUUUCAGUAUCAGGAGCAGCAGGACCUUGGUUUUACUGAGGUGCAAACCCAGGUGGUGGUUGCAGCUGGUAGUUCUCCUGGAAUUCUUGCUUGGGAAUGAAACCUUGGUUGUAGGGAACAAAAGGUUUGUUCUGACCUUGUUGUUGCUAUGGAGGAUACACUUGAUCCUAAGGAUUAGCAACGUUGGUGUUGCGGUAGGAGAGGUUGGGGUUGUUGGUUUUGAAGUUGGUGUACCCUUUGUAGCUACUCUAGUUGUUGUUGAUGUAGCUGGCCUCUUCUAACUGGUUACCCUCUCCAUCUUGGACUUGAUAUUGCUCGUCAUCAACAAGGAAGUGCACAUGCUUUUGCUGGCUAAGAAGAAUCUUGUCCAGCUUGUCAUUCAGUGCUUUGAUCUCCUUCCUGUGUUUGUCAUCAAAGUCAGAUGUGCUUCUGACGGUCCUAUCGCAGUCCUCGUUGUAAUUACCAUCUGAUUGAGCAAGGUUCUCAACCAAUAUCCCAGCCUUCUUCAACAUCUUUGUUCUAGAAAUUCCCAUUCUUGGCUGUAUCCAGAAGCAUUCUGAUGCGUGGUAGAACUCCACUGUAAAGAGUGAUGAGCAGAGAGGCUUUCGUGAGGCCAUGAUGAGGGCAUUGGUUGGUGUAACCCUUGAAACGUUCCCAUGCUUCACAGAAGCUUUCACCACUCUUCUGUGAAAAACCAGAAAUCUCAUUUCUGAGUCUUGCAGUUCUGGCGUUGGAGAAGAACUUUGAUAGAAAAGCCUUCUUGCAAUCAUCCUAGGUGGUGAUUGAGUCAUGGGGCAAAUUCUUCUCCCAGAUGUGUGCUUUGUCGCCCAAGGAGAAUGGAAACAAACGGAGUUUGAAUCUGUCUUCACUGACACCAUUGAUUUUUGUUAGGUUACAGAACUUAUCGAAUUCAUCAAGGUGGUCGAGUGGAUCCUCCAUUGGUAGACCAUGGAAUUUGUUCCCCUGAAUCAUCGAGAUGAGACGACUCUUAAUCUCGAAGUUGUUGUUCUAGAUAGCAUGAGGUGCAAUUUCUUUCCUCUAACGAUGGUCCCGUGGUGCAUCUCAAGCACCAAUGUUGGCAGGACCAUUCUGUUGAUUCUGUUCAUCAGCCAUUUCGAGUGGUUGCUGAGGUACAAGGUUGACUGUGUUUCUCCUUUCUCUGAUUUUGCGAGCUAAGCGGUCGAUAUUGUCGUUGAAAAGGAGGUUCUGAUUGCCUGUUGAUCGAGUUUGCAUAUAGAAGAGGUGUACCUGGAUCAAGAAGAUAACAAGAAAAACACACAGUUAGUAAUUGA